GCCCCGACUCGGCCGGCCCCGCCGUGGGGCACAGUGGAGCUUAAAUGCCGCGGCCGUCAGGGUAGAGGAUCGGUUGGUCGUUUCGAAAAGCCAGAAACGCCGGGCACCGUUAUUCGGGGGCCCGCGAGCUCCCGGAGGCCGGGAACCUGUGAUCCAAACGUCCGUGCGUCUUCUCGCGAUUUGGAACUAGUCAACAGCGAUGCUUAAGUGUAUUUAGAGAGAGUGCAGAAUUGCUUAAAUGUAUACGUAUCAUUGCUCCUCUUGAUCCUAUGGAUCUUGGGUUGUAGGCUUGCAUUAGAUACUUGUCUUUUAAUUUAUGAUUUGACUUGCUUUGGAAGGCGCUGACCGCUGUUUCAUCCUACUUGCCCUGAAGUGCUUAGGCUAGGCCCCUUGAUCACUGUGCUUUGUGGGCGGAGAUCCCCUGCUGAUUGAUUUUCCCUUCACUUUUCUUGUUUAUUAUGAAUAAAUACUGACUCCCAAGAUGGAUGGGUUAAUCUUUUCUCUUAAACAGUACCCAUUUGGGCUUUUAUAAGGGUGACACCAACUUUGAGUAUUUUGUCCAUAAUCUUGUAAUUUUUCUAUUUGCUAGGAAACGCUUUAAGUACGUUCCUUUUCCUUUCUCCCUUGUUCUCACCUUGCAAGGAAGUAAGUGGGGAAACGAGAGAAAUUUAUAACGUCGUGGUGAACCACAGUCUUGAAUCUGGAAGAGAUCUCAAGAGAUGAUACCGUCAAAUCGUUUUCUGUCAGAAAGAUUUUUAAAAAGAAAUGGGUGAGAACCAGAAAGGUCAAGUGAUGUGCCUCAGAUAACCCUGUAUUUUGAUGGUAAAACCUUGUAAACAUGGACUGCUUUUUCAAUGUGUACUCCUUUUCAAAAACUAAGUUUUUAAUAUUAUGUAAUCCAUCUAGAUAUAGCUUUACACACAUCAGUGAGGUUUUUUGCAAACACAUUGCAGUUGUACCAGAUUUUGAAAUGAAUAAUAAACAAUAAUUGUUUCUAUGAUGGCUCAUAGUUUUCUUAAUUUUCUCCAUUUAAUAUUCAGCAGCUCUGUGAACAAGGCGCUGCUAUUUCAUUUUACUGAGGUGCAGGAACUGAGGCCAGGUAAGUGAAGUGAGCUUCCCAGUGCUACAGGUGCAGAAAAGGAAGCCAGGACUCUGAUCUUGUCCUUUUGACCUUAAAGGAUAUGUUGUAAACGAGGCCAUAGUGGUUUGUUCUAUUUGUAAUAGUAUUCAGUAAGUUUCUGGUUAAAGUUUAGUUGUUUAAUGUUAAUAUUAAAAGUAGUAGCAAGCAUUCAUAAUCUUGAUGUGCUUGAGCACUUUUCUUCCCCUGAAAACAGAAGCAUGUACAAUGACACAGACUAGUAACAGCAGGUAACAGCCUCCUGCAAGCUGAGUUCAGCAUUGCCGUAGUCCCAUUUUUUGGUCCAUUGUGUUUUCCAUAGAAGUUUUUUAGUGAGAACUCUUAGUGACUUUGGAACACUUGAUGGAUUUUAUAAUUUAAAAAAUACACACUGUGUAAAAACAUACAUGUAUUUUUAUAGCUAUACUUUUUUUGACCAUUAAUAUGAAGUAUCCACAUUUGCACUAACAGUGCUUUUAAUUAAGAGUGUUUUAUCAGCCUUUAAAAUACAGUGUUUUUGAUUGGGGUGCAUUUCAGAACUGCCAGGCCCUGUUGGUUAUGAAACUAAGCUCUGGGUGUGGCCUGGCAUCAGCACUUGUGCCGAGCAUCACAGAUCAUUCUGAUGCAUUCUACAGGCCUAAAUCACUGAUCUAAUUCCAAAAAUGCAUGGCAAAAAAAAAAAAGACACUUUCUGUUUAACCUUUUGAAUGCAAUUUAAAAGAUUUUUUUCUUUUUAAUUUUUUGACUAUGCCUGAAGAUGACUCCUUCA
Molecule: non-coding RNA, 1886 nt
Organism: Vicugna pacos (alpaca)
Lineage: Eukaryota; Metazoa; Chordata; Mammalia; Artiodactyla; Camelidae
Source: RefSeq, a predicted model, not a curated record